UGCCAGGGCUCGGGGCCCGCCCUUGGCCGGCCUGCAGCCCUGGCGCCCAUUUCCCGGAGUGCUGGACCCAGCGACCUUUCCGGCGGCUACACUCUGGAAAACAGCCAGGUGAGCCCCCAGAAGGCGUGACCCCAGUGUCCCCCGCCAAACCCUGGCCUCUUUCCGGCCCCUUCUGCACCGAGGCUUUUCACUGUUGCCUGGGUGCCUACUGUGUGCAGGCCGGAGCUGGAGGCACGGAGCUCCGGAGAUUCAUGGGGCUGGAUUCUGCGGGAUAAGUCCACUUGUUGCAGAAUCCCAAGACGAAAGUGUGUAAUUAGGGAGAUUUAGCGGAGUCAACGACGGCUGGAGCUCACCAGGAGCUAAAGAAAACAUCUGUGCUUCACAUCUGCCCCUGGAUGUGUGAACUCCAUACAGCCCAGUCCCUGCUGGCUAAUCUCCCAGGAUCUGAGUGGGAAGAGAGCCUGGGAGAAGAUGGACCUCACCUCAGGUUACAAAAUAGGAUUAGCUGCUUUUCACAGCAGAAAAUCCCCAAAUGACAGUGGUUACAACAGGACACUUUUCUCUUUCUCUGCCGUAUGAAAUCCAGAGGCAGGCCAUGAAGGUCAUGACUCUAUGAGAACAGCUCAGCCUAUUUCUGUUCUGUUACCCCAGUGUGAAGCCCUCAUGCUCAGUGUCGACUGCAGCUGCUGAGGCCCUGACCCAUCUCAUCAGCACUUCCAUGAUCAGAGCGGAAGAAGAAAGGAGCCAGUAAUGCCUUCCUCUUAAAGAUUCAGUUCUUCAAAUCUCUUUACAGUUUUCACUUAUGACGUCAUAUGACCACACUGAACUGCAAAGGAACCUGGAAAUUGUUUUGUAUUUUAGUUGGAAAACAAGUCUCUCGGGUAAAAUGGAAGGCCCUGUUAAUAAAGGAGAGGAAAAUGGGGACCCAGCUCGGUGGUAGAGAGCUUGCUUAGCACACACAUGGCCCUGGGUCCCAUCCCCAGCAAUCUAGAAAACUGACCAAGAGGAUGCUACACAGCGGGAGGGAACAAACCCCUUCUGUUCCAUCAAACGGCCUGGCGCAUUGAGGAGGGCAGGAAGAGAGUGUGGCAGCAGGAAGCCCGACACUGGUGUCCAAGUGACUUCUCUCAUUCUGUGUCUUUGAGUCUCUUGGUAACUAAGAAGAAAAAAAUAAGAGGACAAGCCAGGAAGGGGGCAUUGGUGUGAACGACUCACCAAGGAAAUGGGGAGAGGCAUACUCCUGAGCCCUUAUGAGCACGUGAUGGGGUCUCCUAUCAUGGUGGGGAAAGUCUCAUUUUGUCUGUGCCUACCGUGAAAAGAGCCCUGGUUGACCAGUUGUUCCUCAGAGAACUAGUCAGUCAUCCCUUCAAAUGGCAGUCUGCCCUCCACCUCUGGGUGUUCAGGGGAGCCUGGUUCCUCCAACUCCUGAGCCUUUGGGGAGCUCAGCAAGUCUGUCUCAGUGGCUCCCUGGAGCAUCUUGGUCUCAGGCCCUGGGUUCCUUGUCCACAUCCAUCCAUCAUUGGUUCUAUAGCAUCCACAGUUUAGUUGAUUCUUCCUGUCUGCUCUUAUCACCUCACAGGGUGUCAUUGUCCCAGUCAGUGGAUGUGUGUGUUGUGUGUGUGUCCUUGUCAUUCUCUCAGAAUCACAGAAAAUGGUGACAUUAGGUAAGUGAUGGCAGUCGGCCAUAGCUAGCCAGUAUAUGGCUUAUGCUCUUGCCUGGGGAAACCUCAAGGCUCGAGGACAUUCUAUGGUGUUCCCAGCCUGGCUGCCCCUUCCUUAUUUAGCUCUGGAAGCCCUUAGUGCCUCAAAACUUUGUCUCUGCACCUGAGCAGAGCUGCAUCUCAGCUCUGGCCUGUACCCCUGCUAAAGGGCAGGACCUAACUAUUCUUCCUUGAACCUGAACGGGAUUGGGCAGGCCCUAAGCUGCUGGAUAUGAGUUCCUGGCCUAGUUCACUCCUUAGAUGUCAGUUUGAUCUUUGGUGAAUUAGACUCAAAGGUGGGGCUGAGAAUGUUAUUUCUAAAUUGGAAUGCUGGAAUGCUAGAGUUGAUCUCCUUCCAGAGGUGUGUUCCCACUGGAGUAUGGAUGAAGUCUGGUGUCAGUCCCCCUGGGGAGCCUGCAAGAGCAUUGCCUGUUCUUAAGAGCCAGGGGUAAUGGUAUACACUCACAGCACAUGGGAGACUAAGGCAGGGGUAUCAUGAGUUUGAGGGAAUCCUGAGUUGCAUAGCAAGAGUCUGUCUCGAAAAAUUAAAACUUGUGGACUGUGGUACAGAUAGCAUGUGUCUUCAGACCCCAGAAACCCCCAGUGGCCUUCUGUGAUUCUUAUGGGAAGAGGUGAAGAACUAGGUGGGCAGCCUUCCCAGACUAGGGAGUUUCCUGAGGUGCAGGGCUUUCAAUGCUAAAAGCAACGUGGUGCCAUGGAAAACCAGAACUGCUGAUGACCACCAGGAGUGCCAUCUUGGGGGUGGCCAUGUGGCUUAAAAGCUUACUCUCUGGGGCUUAGGGAGAUGACUUAGUUGAUGAAGUGCCUUCUGUAUAAUCAUGAAGACCUAAGUUCAAUUCCCAGAACCCACAUCAAAUUGUGCCUACAGUCCCAGCACUGGGGAGGCAGAGACAGGAGGAUCCCUGGCAAAUCCUUGUUUGCCAGCUCAUCUGGCCCAGUUCAUGAGCUUCAGGUCCCAGGAGAGAUUGUCUCAAAAACUAAGGUAGAGCAUGAUUGAAGAUGUCCAACAUUCACCUCUGUCCUUCACAUGCUCAUCCACACUCCCUUCCUUACACAGAGGCACACACACACACAAGCACACACACACAUACAUGAGCACACACUGAGACAUAUGCAAGCAUACACACAAGCAUACGCAAACAUUCAUACACACACACACACACACACACACACACACACACACACACUGCUUACUGUCUGUGGUCACACACAUCUCCCCACCACAUGUCACCUAGCAUUUUUAUGACAAAUGCUGGAGAUGUCCAGAGUGGGCUCUGGAAUCAGGGUGCCAGGUCCAGUCCUCAGCUCUAGCCAUCCCCACCUCUGUCUCUUCAGACACAUCAUUUCGAUUCACUUCUGCUCCAUUUUCCUCAUCUACAGAAUAAGUGUAUAAUCCAAGUUCCAUGUCAAUGGGUGACUAUAAGAAUUAAGUGACUCAGUGGAUGCAAGUCCCUUCCAAUGCUGUCUGUCAUCCAGCCAGAGGGCCACACCCUUUAUGGAAAUAUGAAGAAAACUAUCUGCAUUUCCCAGCAGGCCUUGGGAUAGUGGACACAGCCUCCUGGAUUCUAAAGUCUGAUUAUAUAAUUAAUCUGAACCUUGAGCCAUUUCAGCCCAGUUCCUUGUAAACAUGCUGACACCAUCAGAAUAUGAAUAAUUAGGAGAAUAUCUCGUUCUCACUUAUCACUAGAACUACUUGGAACGUGUAAGUGAGCUAUGACUAAUCUGUUCUUGUUGAUCAAAGCAAUAAACAAACAACCAGGGCAAA
Molecule: long non-coding RNA, 3486 nt
Organism: Peromyscus maniculatus bairdii (prairie deer mouse)
Lineage: Eukaryota; Metazoa; Chordata; Mammalia; Rodentia; Cricetidae
Source: RefSeq, a predicted model, not a curated record